CGACACAAAGAUAUAUCCCCUCACUCUUUCAAUUUGCAAGUGAUUCGGAUUAACUAUUUCUUGGACUACAAGUAGUUAGUUGUUGGUUAUUGAUGUAGAGGGGGUGACGUCUUUGCCAAGAAGUGCAUAUUGAUGAACAUCAUUGGCAAGCUUUGUUGAAAGUACAGUUUUUCAAAAUUCAUAAUAACGAGCUUAGGCAAAUUGGGUUUGUAAUAUCAUAUAGUGCUGGCUGCAAUUCCACACGCCAAGAAAG
Molecule: long non-coding RNA, 253 nt
Organism: Rosa rugosa (rugosa rose)
Lineage: Eukaryota; Viridiplantae; Streptophyta; Magnoliopsida; Rosales; Rosaceae
Exons: 3
Source: RefSeq, a predicted model, not a curated record